CCCAACAAGUUUAAUUUAUAUUUUUAAAUUUUAUACGUUUAGGUUGCGGGGAUCUAGAAAAUCUUACCUUUGGAAGCGAAUCUCGGAAUUACAUAAAUUGAUAAUAGAUAUUCAGACUGCUCAUGCUAAGUUGGGCAGUCAAGACGGAAACAGCCGAGAACACUGAUCAAGGUCCCAAAUGAUUGUUAAGUGAAAUUAAGGACGUAGCAAUAUCGUAUACAGCUGUGAAGUGAGCCUGGCAGUCGCUACUUAUAAUGAUCGUACGUAACAACGCAUCAGCAGUAUUAAAAUUUAUUAUUAAAUAAUAAAAUUUAAAUGAUAGUAGCGCCGAAAAUUUAACGGGUCUUAAACAAUCAACCGAUAUCGUGUUGGUUUUAUAAAAAAAUUUAUUUUAAUAAAAUCUAGGUAGUAGAACAUUCAGUUUAACUGUUAAUUAAAUAGUGUUUCAUUGUUUAUUAGGUUACUGAAGAGAGAAUGCUGACAUGAGUAACGUAMAAAAUUCCUUAUAAUGGAAUUCGCCGAAUACGAAAGGGUUGCAAAUUUGAAAGGUUAAACCGUUUUGUGUAAAUGCGGCCUCUAAGGACUAUAGCAAUAGCUAUGGCUGAUGAGUAAAUAAUAGAAAGUCCAAUAUUUAAMAAAUGGACCAGGAAAAUAAUAUUA
RNAcentral lists this ribosomal RNA (660 nucleotides) under Galerina pseudomycenopsis. RNAcentral's name for it is "bacterial LSU rRNA". It matches the Rfam family "Bacterial large subunit ribosomal RNA", at positions 861 to 1490 of the family's 2925-position model. Lineage: Eukaryota; Fungi; Basidiomycota; Agaricomycetes; Agaricales; Galerinaceae. The record is from RNAcentral.